CCUACGGGCGGCAGCAGUGGGGAAUAUUGCACAAUGGGCGCAAGCCUGAUGCAGCCAUGCCGCGUGUGUGAAGAAGGCCUUCGGGUUGUAAAGCACUUUCAGCGGGGAGGAAGGCGUUAAGGUUAAUAACCUUGUCGAUUGACGUUACCCGCAGAAGAAGCACCGGCUAACUCCGUGCCAGCAGCCGCGGUAAUACGGAGGGUGCAAGCGUUAAUCGGAAUUACUGGGCGUAAAGCGCACGCAGGCGGUCUGUCAAGUCGGAUGUGAAAUCCCCGGGCUCAACCUGGGAACUGCAUUCGAAACUGGCAGGCUAGAGUCUUGUAGAGGGGGGUAGAAUUCCAGGUGUAGCGGUGAAAUGCGUAGAGAUCUGGAGGAAUACCGGUGGCGAAGGCGGCCCCCGGGACAAAGACUGACGCUCAGGUGCGAAAGCGUGGGGAGCAAACAGGAUUAGAUACCCGUGUAGUC
RNAcentral lists this ribosomal RNA (465 nucleotides) under uncultured Klebsiella sp. RNAcentral's name for it is "bacterial SSU rRNA". It matches the Rfam family "Bacterial small subunit ribosomal RNA", at positions 338 to 795 of the family's 1533-position model. Lineage: Bacteria; Pseudomonadati; Pseudomonadota; Gammaproteobacteria; Enterobacterales; Enterobacteriaceae. The record is from RNAcentral.